UGCUGCCGCCCCCUGCGGGUGGACGAGAGCAGCACGCUCUGUUCCUGCAACCCAGGCUGGUUCUUUCGUCCUCCUUUCCGUCCCUAAGUUUAUUCCCUAAGGGCGCAAGACAGGAACGGAGUCCCCAAAUAAUUCCAGCCACUUUCCUCAUCUGUGCUUGGAAGGCAGCAGCGAUCUGAUAAUGUCCAAUGUGGUUCGUUGACAGUCCUCCACCCCUACACACACACACACACACACACACACACACACAGAGCUAGAGCUAUGUAAAAGCAUCUUCCCAGUUCAGCCUUACAAGCCGUGGGAGCCCCAACACCAUGCACCAUAGUUACAUGAUUUGGGGACUGGCUCAGUCCAAGUGAAGACGCAGGUCAGAGCUGCCUCCUGGUAACACCUGUGCAUUAUCGCCCACUAUGUCCCCUGCCAUUGCUGACACUGCCACCUCCGGGCACGGGCGCAUACUUUUCCUGAAUCCCCGGGAAACAUGCUUGGGUAGUGUUGCUACCCCUCACUCAGUGCUACCGUGCCUGGCGCUUGAAGGGGGGCAAUAAAUAAAUAAGGAAGGAAGGAAGGUUCGACCGAAAAGGAACUUUGGGAUGCGGGGGGCGGUUGGUAUUAUUUUCCCUUUCAACAUGGGCCAUAUUCCAUACCCCUUCUGCAAGUAGUGAUUAAAAGUAGACCCCAUUCCCUCUCCCAUUACCGGACUAUGAGCCCCAAAGUAACUAUCAAGGGACAGCUAGAUCCUAAAUUCAUGUCACCCACCCAACCCCCACGCGCCCGCUCUAGCACACCGGCUAUAUUUUGUUUGAUGUGAACAUGCCCUCGCUUCCUUUCCGAUUUUUGCACUUUGCAUAGGCUGGAGAUACAUGCAUAACAGGCAAUCGUUGAACCGCCAGAGUUCAUUUAUUCAGCGACGAUCUAAGGGAUCUUUCGGUGAGGACCGCUGCACGGGAGGCCGUGGAGACAAGACACUUUAAAUGUGAUUUUAGCGAAGGAAGCCUCCGCUCAGAAGAUCUGCCUUGCUUAGCGCAAGCUGCACACGUCGCGGUGAAGCUGAGCUGUGAUUGGAGGCGCUCGCGGAACCCCACACUGCAGUGGAAAAGUCUGCGCAGAGGCUGCCACACGUCGCGCACGUCCUGCAUGCUCUGCUGGGAGGGCGCCGGCCCCCCGGCGGCGGGCGCAGCUGCUCUGUUCCCAACCCAGCCCGCCCCGCCUGGGGCCUCCGCCUUGCCUUCUCCGGCAGCCUGGCGAGCUUAGGAGACCUGGAGCUCACCUGGCGAGUAGCCCUUGGGAACCUCCCAGCUCUAACCGCCAUUCCUGCACCCUGCUCUCCGGUCAGUCCUCAAGUCAGGUGGCAGCUAAGCAUUCUCAGAUGGGGCAGUUUUCCUUUCCUGGAGUCAACAAUGUAGUGGGUACCCAGAACAAACACUAAGUUCUCCAGUCACUUCUGCUACCAGUGUCACCAAGUCCUUCCCAGAGUCGCCAAGAUGUGGUUAUCAACAGCAGCAGCACGUGACUCCGUUGCCUUACUCUUACACCAGCUCCUUAGACUUAAACAUUUAAACCUCCUUGGUGCCUGUGCCUCCUCCCCAGGGAAAGCUGGGGGGCGGGGGGGGGACAAGCUGUGGCAAGCUGUGAGCAGUCUCACGUUGCUAAUUAGACCCAGUGUCAGUAGUUGCUCUCUUGAAAGAGCCCAUGUAUGAGAGAGUGAAGCAAGGCUCCAAAUAAUAAACAAACCUUUAUCAUCAUCCCAAGAUGGCUUUUAGUCACAAAAUAUGACUUCUUUAAGAAUGGAAAUAGAGAUUUGAGGGUAGCUGCCCAGAUGACAUUGGAGGUUCCCAAAACCAGCUCAUAGAUUGUAUGUAUAUAUUUUUUAAAAAUUUCGAAGUUAGCCGGGCGUGGUGGCGCACACCUUUAAUCCCAGCACUCGGGAGGCAGAGGCAGGCGGAUUUCUGAGUUCGAGGCCAACCUGGUCUACAAAGUGAGUUCCAGGACAGCCAGGGCUAUACAGAGAAACCCUGUCUCGAAAAAAAAAAAAAAAAAAUUUGAAGUUGCCAGUCAUGCAGGACCACUACUGUAGGCUAGACCACAAAAAGGCAGGGACUAAGAGGAUCAGAAAGCUUCGCUAGUAGCACUUGGGAGGUAGAGGCAAGUGGAUCUCUGAGUUCAAGGCCAGCUUAGUCCAUAUAGCCAGUUCUAAGAAAGCCAGGGCUACUGCUAUAUGAUGGUUUGUAUAUGCUUGGUCCAGGGAGUGGCACUAUUAGAAGGUGUGGCCUUGUUGGAGUAGGUGU
This is a long non-coding RNA of Mus musculus (house mouse), 2288 nucleotides long. RefSeq annotates it as predicted gene, 52500. NCBI's taxonomy places the organism in Eukaryota, Metazoa, Chordata, Mammalia, Rodentia, Muridae. The transcript has 3 exons. The record is from RefSeq and is a predicted model, not a curated record.